UACGGGGGGGGUAAGCGUUGUUCGGAAUUACUGGGCGUAAAGGGCUCGUAGGCGGCCAACUAAGUCAGACGUGAAAUCCCUCAGCUUAACUGGGGAACUGCGUCUGAUACUGGACGGCUUGGAUUCGGGAGAGGAAUGCGGAAUUCCAGGUGUAGCGGUGAAAUGCGUAGAUAUCUGGAGGAACACCGGUGGCGAAGGCGGCAUUCUGGACCGACAUUGACGCUGAGGAGCGAAAGCCAGGGGAGCAAACGGG
RNAcentral lists this ribosomal RNA (253 nucleotides) under uncultured bacterium. RNAcentral describes it as "partial 16S ribosomal RNA". It matches the Rfam family "Bacterial small subunit ribosomal RNA", at positions 524 to 776 of the family's 1533-position model. The record is from RNAcentral.